RNAcentral lists this ribosomal RNA (373 nucleotides) under uncultured organism. RNAcentral's name for it is "bacterial SSU rRNA". It matches the Rfam family "Bacterial small subunit ribosomal RNA", at positions 526 to 896 of the family's 1533-position model. The record is from RNAcentral.
CGGGGGGAGCAAGCGUUGUUCGGAUUUACUGGGCGUAAAGGGCGCGUAGGCGGCGCAACAAGUCACUUGUGAAAUCUCCGGGCUUAACCCGGAGCGGCCAAGUGAUACUGUCGUGCUAGAGUGCGGAAGGGGCAACUGGAAUUCUCGGUGUAGCGGUGAAAUGCGUAGAUAUCGAGAGGAACACCUGUGGCGAAGGCGGGUUGCUGGGCCGACACUGACGCUGAGGCGCGAAAGCUAGGGGAGCGAACGGGAUUAGAUACCCCGGUAGUCCUAGCCUUAAACGAUGGAUGCUUGGUGUCCGGGGUUACAUAGUCCCCGGGUGCCGUCGCUAACGCAUUAAGCAUCCCGCCUGGGGAGUACGGUCGCAAGACUG